RNAcentral lists this non-coding RNA (120 nucleotides) under Bos grunniens (domestic yak). The record is from RNAcentral. Lineage: Eukaryota; Metazoa; Chordata; Mammalia; Artiodactyla; Bovidae.
GUGUUGUAUGAAAGGAGAGAAGGUUAGCACCCCUUGACAAGGAUGGAAGAGACUCUCGGCCUGACAACAGGCAUACGGUUAGGCAUUGCCACCUACUGUGGCAUCUAACCACUGUUUUUA